Molecule: unclassified non-coding RNA, 325 nt
Filed under: Helictochloa aetolica
Lineage: Eukaryota; Viridiplantae; Streptophyta; Magnoliopsida; Poales; Poaceae
Description: partial external transcribed spacer
Source: RNAcentral
UGUCUGCCGGUAGGCCCCCCGUCUUUGUGCGGCCGACUACUGGCGCCGUGUCCCGUCAUUCGUGUGGCUUAUGUUNNNNNAAAGGAUAAUGGCCCUUUUGGUUGCCUUUACCCGACCCUUCAGAAGCUCUCCGAAUUUUGAGAACAACCGUGAACAGGUGUGGCCUCUACCUCUCCACAGUUAGUGGUAGGAUUACGCAACAUUCUGCGCCGAUCCUCAAAGUAGUAGGAUGAGCUUGGCCCGCUCAAUUGUGACAACCGACYCGGGCGUUGUUUCGCCCUGCGACGCAAGUUGCGGGGUGGACGACAACCGACCGCSAGGACGU